CGGAGCUAUUUCUGCUGUCAAGAUUUACUUUCGAUAGAAUAUGGAUAUAAAUAUCUCUCCGACCUAAGACCACCACAGUGACUUGCAAGCAACUCACUGCACUUAGGUACUAGACUACCUAAAUUUUUAAUUCAGUGACGGAAGGAUGCUGGGUGUAGUCAAGUACUUGACUUGUCGGUGCGUGUGUCAAGAUAGGAUUGACCACUCCAGUUUAGGAGCUGUGUACAGUCGUAUUUCAAUUUUGCAAAACCUUGG
Molecule: long non-coding RNA, 255 nt
Filed under: Elaeis guineensis (African oil palm)
Lineage: Eukaryota; Viridiplantae; Streptophyta; Magnoliopsida; Arecales; Arecaceae
Description: long non-coding RNA (EGUI_LNC062622)
Source: RNAcentral